Molecule: ribosomal RNA, 305 nt
Filed under: uncultured bacterium
Lineage: Bacteria
Description: bacterial SSU rRNA
Rfam family: Bacterial small subunit ribosomal RNA
Source: RNAcentral
CCUACGGGGCGCAGCAGUGAGGAAUAUUGGUCAAUGGGCGGGAGCCUGAACCAGCCAAGUCGCGUGAAGGAAGAAGGUACUUAGUAUUGUAAACUUCUUUUGUCGGGGAACAAAGGCGGAGACGCGUCUCCGGAUGAGUGUACCCGAAGAAAAAGCAUCGGCUAACUCCGUGCCAGCAGCCGCGGUAAUACGUAGGUGGCGAGCGUUAUCCGGAAUGAUUGGGCGUAAAGGGUGCGUAGGCGGCCUGCUAAGUCUGGAGUGAAAGGUACCGGCUCAACCGGUACAGGCUCUGGAAACUGGCGGGC